AACCACAGCCCUAAAAUCAUAUCAAAUUAACUAACUACUUUUUCAAUUUAAACCAUUUUAAUUAUCCUAGUAUAGGUGAUAGAAAAGAUAUAAUAGGAGCUAUAGUUUAUAGUACCGCAAGGGAAAAAUGAAAGAUAAAUUAUAGUAAUUAAAAGCAAAGAUUAACUCUUGUACCUUUUGCAUAAUGAUUUAGCCAGUCAACACGGACAAAAAGAAUUAUGCCCGACAUCCCGAAAUUAAGUGAGCUACUAUAAGACAGUUACUAAUGAACCAACUCAUCUAUGUAGCAAAAUAGUGAGAAGAUUUUAUAGUAGAAGUGAAAAACCUAUCGAACUUAAUGAUAGCUGGUUAUCCAAAAAAGAAUUUAAGUUCAACUUUAAGUCCUAUUACAAUGCCUAUUCAAAGCACACAAUAAGCUUAAAAGUUAGUCAAAGAAGGGACAACUUCUUUGACCAAGUAUACAAACUACAUUAGAGGGUAAUAAUUAAUAAUCCACAUCGUUGGCUUAAAAGCAGCCAUCAACUAAGAAAGCGUUAAAGCUCAAACUCACAUUCCAAUUUAAUACCAUAAAAAAACUAAAACCCCUAAAAUACUAUUGGAUGAUUCUAUGAUAUUAUAGAAUACAUAAUGCUAAAAUUAGUAAUAAGAACCCCUGUUCUCCUNGCACAAGCCUAAGUUAGAAUAACGGAUAUCCCAUUAAUAGUUAACAAAANCAUAACAACAUUCAUCAACCAGCCUCUUAUACAAAAUUUUGUUAAUCCAACACAGGUGUGCAUUAAAGGAAAGAUAUAAAAGAACAAAAGGAACUCGGCAAA
This 815-nucleotide ribosomal RNA is filed under the name Didelphis virginiana (North American opossum). RNAcentral describes it as "partial 16S ribosomal RNA". The stretch from base 158 to 635 matches the Rfam family "Bacterial large subunit ribosomal RNA", at positions 573 to 1301 of the family's 2925-position model. The record is from RNAcentral. Lineage: Eukaryota; Metazoa; Chordata; Mammalia; Didelphimorphia; Didelphidae.